CUCCCGUCUGGCGCCGAGCCGAGGCCUCCGCCCGUUUCCUCAGACAUUUAACCUCUCGGUGUCUUAAUAUCUCUAAGGUUUGUGAAGUGAAACUCUUAGCCUUCACUUUGCCUAACUUCACACCGAAGUAACCCAAGUUUUCUUUUCAAACCUGCCACGUCUCGUUAAAUUUGUAAAUCUCUGAACUCUAAAGCCUCAUACAAAGAAAAGUUCCAUGAGAAUACUACACGAUGCCAAUUUCUACUGUUAAGAACGCGGUAACAGAAAGAGAGGAAGGGAGAGGAAGCCUGAAACCAGGCAUAUGUCCUGACCUGGAAUUAAACCAGCAACCUUUUGAUGCACGGGAUGAAGCCCAACCAACUGAGCCACACCGGCCAGGACUGUACUGGGACAUCUAGUUCAAGAUAAUUCGAUGUCCUAGCUGGUUUGGCUCAGUGGAUAGAGCGUUGGCCUGCAGACUGAAGGGUCCCGGGUUCGAUUCCAGUCAAGAGCACAUGCCUGAGUUGCAGGCUUGACCCCCAGUAGGGGGCAUGCAGGAGGCAGCUGAUCAAUGAUUCUCUCUCAUCAUUGAUGUUUCUCUCUGUGUCUCUCCCCUUUCUCCCUUCUUCUCUGAAAUCA
Eptesicus fuscus (big brown bat) is the source of this 618-nucleotide long non-coding RNA. RefSeq lists it as uncharacterized. Lineage: Eukaryota; Metazoa; Chordata; Mammalia; Chiroptera; Vespertilionidae. The record is from RefSeq and is a predicted model, not a curated record. The transcript has 3 exons.